GUUAUUUGACAUCAAAUCAUCUUCUAUUCUUCUUGAUUCUUUUGUUGGUUUUUUUUUUCAUUUUAAAAUUUUUUUUUAUCACUCAAGUCUCAAUUUUUCUUUUUUUUAUUUUUAUUUUUAUUUUUGAUGUAGUGUUUAUUAUGAUGAUUUUAAAUUGGUGUUAUUAUUGUGUUAUUUAUUGUUUUUACUUUUUUUAAUUAAAAGAAAAAAAU
Molecule: long non-coding RNA, 212 nt
Filed under: Gossypium raimondii (Peruvian cotton)
Lineage: Eukaryota; Viridiplantae; Streptophyta; Magnoliopsida; Malvales; Malvaceae
Description: long non-coding RNA (GRAI_LNC001864)
Source: RNAcentral